This 1871-nucleotide long non-coding RNA is filed under the name Helianthus annuus (common sunflower). Its description in RNAcentral is "hypothetical non coding rna". Lineage: Eukaryota; Viridiplantae; Streptophyta; Magnoliopsida; Asterales; Asteraceae. The record is from RNAcentral.
GUGUAUAUGUGUGUGCGCGUAGAUUGAGAGGGAGAAAGAGGGGCAAAGACCUUCAUCUUAUAAACACAAAAAAAUUCAGCAAUUAGGAAGGAAAUUGGUGAUCAAUCUUAUGCAUGAAGAUCAUCUCUUAACCAUCAAAGUUUGAUAAUCAUAAGGUGUGAAAGAACAAGGAUCAAUCAAAAAGAGGUCACAAAGUUCAAACGAUCGAGAUGAGAAUGGUCGAACUCUUGGCGUGAUAAAACUAGUAGAACUGGUGAAAAGAUGCACACGAGCGGAAGCUCAUUACAUGGAUGGACGAGGUCAAUCUAGUUUUAACACGCGCUCAUAAGGGGCGGGCUGAAUCGGGACACGGAUCAUUGUUUAUGAUAAGCAUCAUAUCAAGAUGACGCUAACAUGAAAGGAAAAUGGGUCAAAAGGAGGCGAGGAAGCAAUAACGAAUACAGACGCUUAAUGUAAGUGAUUAUCGAUCUCACUUCUUAUUUUGUUUAGAUAAAGUAUCUAUAUUUGAGUAGUUGAAAUCAAGUAAGGAUGUAUAAAUAAUGGAAUUUCUAGGAUAUGGAUGGUUGUAAUGGUCGAUGGAUGUCAAUCCGGUGAAACCUCAACAAAGGGGCAAACGAGUUAAAACUUUUAGAAGAAAUAUUUAGCGGAAGAACAUGUGGAUUGGAUUAGGAAAUGUAUGGAAUGAAUUGAGAAAUUGAAUAAUGAUUUAUAUCACGUAAUAGAACCACUGAGACACACGGUUAGUGAGUAGAAAGAACAAAACGCAAAAUCAGUGUCUGAGCUGCAGAGGAGGCGUCGGCGACGCCCAGCCGUGUUGCAGCCGGCACCUUAUCUUACUGUCUACACGGGUCCGACGCAGGAAACCCGUUUUCACGUUUUUCUCAUUUUUCCUCGCUUCCAAGGCCCCACUAAGCUUCCCAAAGGCAUCCUAGGCCUACUAUAGAGUUUUGUGAGGUACAUGUAAGAACGAAAACUUAGGAGGGCAAGUACGAAGAUGUGACAUGUAUGUUGAUAUGUUUUCUUUAUGUACAUGGGUAAGUUUUUAGUAAGUAAAACUUAUUGGGUGUUAGUUGCAUUUUUAGGCACGUUUUUAUUGUAUAUUUAUGUUAAAAUUCACCACAUAUCAUGCAUAUAUCAUAGUCAUACCUCAUUAUUUUGUUAAACACGUGUUUUUGUGGAAUGGAAUCUACUUUGGUUGGUUUUUGGUUGAUACUGUAGGUGCGGAGCGCUUGCUAAGGAAGGCAUAGGAGUCGGAAAGAGUUGGAAGGAUUUUUGAAGGCAAAUGUUUCAAGACGAGAGCUAUUAGUCUUGAAAGAAGCAAGUUGAAGUGAUAAAAUUAGACGGAUGCCGAAAAAGAACGUAAUUGGCCGAAGGUUUAUUCUAAUUUGUUCACAUAAAAAUUGUGAAUAUGAUUAAUUAGAGAUUGAUGAGAAUACCAAGAUAUGGCACGUUAGGCCUUCAAGUUCACUCAUCUUUGUGUAUUUGGAUUAAUUAAGAAAGUGGGCUUCAUAAAUUUAUUAGUGCGGGCUUCGGUGGAAGUUAACUUACAAAAGCUACAUAGAAUGAAAUUGGACAAGUAAACCUAGGCUUGGGGGCCCAGCUGCAAUAACAUCAACAAAAACAACCUGGACGACUUCGAAGACGGCUGCAAUCCAGAGAGAAGCAAGAGUUGGGAUUUUGGGAAGUAUUUUUGGUUUCGUACGUUGUUAGUUCUAUGUUUUGUUUCGUUUUAGUAUUGAUUGUUCUAGCCAUCAUGUCCGGCUAGACUCUUAUAGUUUCGACAUUAGGGUUUAUUUUCUUUGAUUUGGUUCACAAUCUUAUGUGAAACGAUCACGUUUGAUUCGAUUAUUUUAGUGGUUUGUUUGUGUGAU